Molecule: long non-coding RNA, 855 nt
Organism: Armigeres subalbatus
Lineage: Eukaryota; Metazoa; Arthropoda; Insecta; Diptera; Culicidae
Exons: 3
Source: RefSeq, a predicted model, not a curated record
UCACAGUUAUCUCGCGUAAGCUGGUAUUGAAGCUUAUAAUGUCUACCGUUCAAGAUAGAAGUAUCGGUUAUCUUACCAUGUGAAAUCACCACUCUGACAUACACCACAACAGAACAAAUCAACAGCUGCUGUGCACAGUCCCUGGCCGUACCGUACCUGCACACUACUCAUCGCAUACGUAUCACACGGUGCUAAACUAACAGAGAAUGAGUUACAAAUGCAUACGAAGCAGCAUCCGUAUUGAUAUGGAGAUGGGCUGGAAUCCUGACGCUCCUCAUCUCAAUCUCUGAAUUUCUUAGGAUUAUCUGCUCUCUAAACUCGCCUGCGCUCUGUUUAAAUUAUCGCCACCCAAAGUAUCACAGGGUGAUGUACGUCUGAGAUUGACUGGAUGAGAUUAGUUGUCGGUUAAUACUCAAGCAGUUGACUACCUAGAAGGGGAUAAGAAUUAGCCUGACCGGCAGAGAUACGUUUUUGAUUAAAGUGCUGUACAGAAGCUCAGUGCAUGGACUUUGUGUUUUGCAAGAGCCAAUAUGAUCUUCUGGGAGAUCUCUUUUACGGGAUGCUCAGCUAGUGUGAUGGAGUAAAUUAGCAAGAUUGCAGGAGAUCGGCCUAUCUAUUCAUGCCCAAAACCCAUGGCUUGGUGAGCCUCAUACCGUGGAGCAGUGCCUGGGUGACCUGCGAGGUGAAUGGGAAUGUCUGCUAUGGAGCCUUUGGCAUGUUACGCGUGCAAUCGUCUGUCCGGGCAGACACUCGUUUUGGCAGCCGCCGCGGGAUAGACAUCCACACUGACACCACACAACAAUAGGAUUAGGAACUAAACUUAGGGUGUAAGAUGGAAAUAUAGAACGUAAGUAC